AGGUGUGGUCAUACCAGUACUAAUGCACCAGAUUCCAUCAAAACUUUGAAUUUAAGCAUGCUUGAAUGAGAAUAGUACUAAGAUGGGUGACCUCCUAGAAAGUCCUUUUAUUGCACCCC
This 119-nucleotide ribosomal RNA is filed under the name Nelumbo nucifera (sacred lotus). The record is from RNAcentral. Lineage: Eukaryota; Viridiplantae; Streptophyta; Magnoliopsida; Proteales; Nelumbonaceae.